AGAUUUCCCUUCUCCUCUCCUCCAUCAAAUUUCCACCGCCGCCACCUGCCACAAUUCCUCGCAACUCUCACCACCAAGCCGCCUUCGUCGCGCCGGCCACCACCGAGAUAUGUCACCUCUCUUUUCCUUCACCAUGAUUCCCCCGCCAGCCCUCCGAUCUGCCGACUCCCCAAAAUUGAUUUGGGGAAAAUCAGAAAUCGCCGGCCGCCGCCACCUGCCACCUCCAUCUAAUUCCCUCCAUUUCGCUUCUCCACACAGGACUUUUCCCCCACCCCGCUGCGAUUAUAUGAUAUUUGGCGUCUCCAGACCAGACUCCCCUUCCUCCCGCUGUAUUUCGCCGCAGUCCGGCCUCAAGUCAGCACUGCCGUCCCUCUAACCGUCCUUGGGAGUUGUGGCGAAUUCAAUCUGCCUCUUCCACCUUCUCCGAUACCACCUCCAUUUCCAUCCCCCCGGCGAUCUGCCCUCCCGGCUUCCCCCCUACCUACAGAUUCCGGCGGUCGCGAAGGGCUCAAGACCACGGCCGGCUAUGGUAAGUUUUUUAUUUUUGCUUAUUUAACAAAAAUAAGCAAAUCAUAUCAUGCUAAUUAAUUUUCGGUUGCUGCAAACUAUUUAAAUAUAGAAUGAUUGUAAAGUUUAGAAAGAAAUUUUUUUGGAAAGAAUUUUAUCAAAGGAAACUUAAACCCUAGAUUUUUAUCUAUAAAUUCAUUUGAUAGAAUUAUUAACGCCACAUCCUGUUAUCCGAUUCAUAGCUGCGGUACUCUUCUUCUGCGAUUCACCUUUUAUUUAUAUUGUCCAGUUUUUAGGUUUAGAUUUUGUUAAUUAACUCUAUGUGUUUGCUUUAAUUCGCAGUCGUUCAACCUUGCCUUCCCUUCCUGAAAACUCGCCACUGUCCCUGUGCCGUCGUCGGAGACCCCUCUGCCUCGACGAACAAGGCAGCCACCCCGGGCUCUCACAAGUGAAAGGAGAGUAUCACACAAACAGGUAAACUCUCCAAGUAGCAGAUCCCUUAUGAGCCGAAUUCCAU
RNAcentral lists this long non-coding RNA (1024 nucleotides) under Salvia miltiorrhiza (redroot sage). Its description in RNAcentral is "long non-coding RNA (SMIL_LNC008131)". The record is from RNAcentral. Lineage: Eukaryota; Viridiplantae; Streptophyta; Magnoliopsida; Lamiales; Lamiaceae.